Molecule: small nuclear RNA, 99 nt
Organism: Gorilla gorilla gorilla (western lowland gorilla)
Lineage: Eukaryota; Metazoa; Chordata; Mammalia; Primates; Hominidae
Source: Rfam
GUGCUCACUUCAGCAGCACAUACAUUAAAAUUAGAAUGAUACAGAGAAGAUUAGCGUGGCUCCUGCACAAGGAUGACAUGUUUAAAAAAAAUUUUUUUU